GUGAGGAAUAUUGCGCAAUGGAGGCAACUCUGACGCAGCCAUGCCGCGUGCAGGAAGAAGGCGCUACGCGUUGUAAACUGCUUUUAACCGGGAAGAAACCCCAGGACGUGUCCUGGGUUGACGGUACCGGAGGAAUAAGCACCGGCUAACUUCGUGCCAGCAGCCGCGGUAAUACGAAGGGUGCAAGCGUUAUCCGGAUUCAUUGGGUUUAAAGGGUGCGUAGGCGGAGCGUUAAGUCAGUGGUGAAAUCCUGCAGCUUAACUGUAGACUUGCCAUUGAUACUGGCGCUCUUGAGUGCGCUUGAAGUGGGCGGAAUGUGCCGUGUAGCGGUGAAAUGCUUAGAAAUGGCACAGAACACCAAUUGCGAAGGCAGCUCACUAAGGCGAUACUGACGCUGAGGCACGAAAGCGUGGGGAUCGAACAGGAUUAGAAACCCUAGUAGUCC
Molecule: ribosomal RNA, 445 nt
Filed under: uncultured bacterium
Lineage: Bacteria
Description: partial 16S ribosomal RNA
Rfam family: Bacterial small subunit ribosomal RNA
Source: RNAcentral